This is a long non-coding RNA of Trifolium pratense (red clover), 1234 nucleotides long. RefSeq lists it as uncharacterized. NCBI's taxonomy places the organism in Eukaryota, Viridiplantae, Streptophyta, Magnoliopsida, Fabales, Fabaceae. The transcript is spliced from 8 exons. The record is from RefSeq and is a predicted model, not a curated record.
UUUAAAACAAAAUUUUUUCUCUGUUAUUUGUAUUGGAACCAAAACUUUACUUUCACUUGAAGAAUCCCUCAAACUCCAAAAUUUCCCUAAUUUCCAUUUUCACUUCCCCCCAUCAUUUCCCUCUCAAAUAAAAUUUCCCUAAUUCGAUUUUGACAAAACCCUAACUGCAAUUUCAUUUCCGCAAAGAAGACCUAAUUCCAUUUCACAUUCGCUCUUAAGCAAAACCCUAAUUUCAUUUUUGUGUUCUUCUAGUAUUUCUGUUGUUCGUUUUUGCUCCCGAAUUUUUCUUGAUCUAUCGUUCAUCUGGGUUACUUUCGUUCGUCUAGGUUGCUUUCUUUCGUUCAUUUGGGUUCCUCUUGUUCCAUCUAAUUCUUGUGUACCUUGCGUUCCUCUAAUCAGUUCAAUCUUUUGUUGCUACUCUUAAUUCACAUUCACUCCUAAUUUCAUCACCACCUAAUACCCAUUUUCCACACACAAUGACACUAUUGGGCUCAGUCUUUCAAACAAGGAUUGCUUCAUAUGUUGAUUUGUCAUCUCAGGAUAAAGAGGAUGGAUAUUAGCUUAAUAGGAAUUUCAGGGGAAACCAACUUUCAGAUAGUUUACUUAGAGAAAGUCAACUAUUAGGACCAUGAUGGAAGCUGCUCCAAUAAAAGUUUUUUUUUUUUGCUAAACUAGUCAAGCUUCUCUUCUCGUGUCUUCACUAGUAGUUCUUCAUAGGGGUGGCAGGGGUAGUACAAGCUUGUUCAUGCUAUGUUAAUAGUCCUUGUAGAAUGAGGUGAAGAGCACCUGUAACUAUUUUUCAGAUUGCUUUUCUACUGGUACCAUAGAAUUAGGAGUGCUGAUUGGAAAAGGUGACUAUUUUGGAAAUGUAUUAAAAACUACACCUCUCUUAUGUUUCAGCCAAGAAGAUGCAGAUAUAUUAAUACCGGUCUUGGUUCAGGUUGGAAUUAGGUGGCUGCAAUUAUUUAAUUAUGGUAUUGGUGAGCUUAGAAAGUAAGGAUUUGUUGGGCUGUUGCUCGAGGACAUUAUUCAAGACUAUUAAAUGAAAUCAUAUUUAUAGUUAGUGGGAUUUAAGCAUUCUGGUUUCAUGAUAUGGCAUUUGUGUAGUCUAUGUAAUUCCAUUUGUACUUUCUUAUCUGUUGUAUCAUUUCAUAUAGGUUGUAGUUUUUUUGUUAAGAUCGUUGAAUCUUGAUUUAGGUGUAGUUCUUCAUAUUGUAAUUUUGGCACUUCAAAA